CGAAAGCCUGACGGAGCAAUACCGCGUGAGGGAGGAAGGCUCUUGGGUUGUAAACCUCUUUUCUCAGGGAAUAAGAACUGAAGGUACCUGAGGAAUCAGCAUCGGCUAACUCCGUGCCAGCAGCCGCGGUAAUACGGAGGAUGCAAGCGUUAUCCGGAAUGAUUGGGCGUAAAGCGUCCGCAGGUGGUUUAUCAAGUCUGCUGUCAAAGAGUUUGGCUCAACCAAAUAAAGGCAGUGGAAACUGACAGACUGGAGUGCGGUAAGGGCAGAGGGAAUUCCUGGUGUAGCGGUGAAAUGCGUACAGAUCAGGAANAACACCGGUGGCGAAAGCGCUCUGCUGGGCCGUAACUGACACUGAGGGACGAAAGCUAGGGGAGCGAAUGGGAUUANAUACCCCANUAGUCA
RNAcentral lists this ribosomal RNA (405 nucleotides) under uncultured cyanobacterium. RNAcentral's name for it is "bacterial SSU rRNA". It matches the Rfam family "Bacterial small subunit ribosomal RNA", at positions 376 to 796 of the family's 1533-position model. The record is from RNAcentral. Lineage: Bacteria; Bacillati; Cyanobacteriota.